AAGAUCCGAGUAAAAAGUUAACUUCCCGGUUGAAUCAGCGAACGAGCCACCCGCUCGCCGGAGCUCCGAUCAGCCCGUUUUCGCCGUUGAAGUUGCUGGUUUCUUCUCUGCAGUUCAGUCCAGAUCAGAAGCAGAAGACAGCAAGAAGUUCCAGACUUCGUGGCCCGUUUUCAAGCCCUUCCCGGCCUCCGUUGGUGUCGCCGCUUUGGGGUUUAUCGACCGCCUUGGCGUCGUGGUCGCCGUGAACUCACCGGCGCGCAAAACCGGUGAGUUUAUCCUCUAAACCUUGCUUAGCAAGUUAAUCAUGCUUAAGGGGUGUUUAGAUUAGUCUAAUUAGGUUUAGGUGGUUAGAUUAGAUUAUUUUAAUGUAAAUUAGAUUAGUUGUAUGAUUAGUUUAAAGGAUGUUUAAUUAGGGCUAAUAGUAUGUUUAAAUUAGUGUAAUCUAAUUUAAGCCCUAAUUGAUUAUUUUUAAUUAAAUAAUUAUUUCGAAUUUUUAAAUAUUAUUUUAUUAUUUUAUAUUAUUAUAAUAUAAUAUUUAAUUAUUUAAUUUUCGGAAUUAAAUUUAAUUAUUUAAUAAUUUCGAAAAUUUUGCCGGGAUGGCCGGUCGUUAGAAUUUCGCGCUGAUCGCAACAGUGCGGUCGGUUUGUGUUAGUUAUAUGUUUAAAUUGAGAAAUUGAGUGAUUGAUGAUUAUGGUUAAUAAUUCCAAAAGUGUGGAAUUGUGUGAAAUUGAUGAAGUUGUGGUAUUUAACUUGAAAAUACCCUGUGUUGGCUUUUAGCACCGUAAUUGAUUUGUAUGACCAGUUUGAAUCGAUUGGAUUGAUUGAUCGAUUGAAUUGAGAUAUGAGUUGGUUUAUUAUUGAAUUAUCCGCUUUGGCGAGCAAUUGGUUUAUAUAUGUCAGCUUGUGAGAGCAAUGAUCCAUACAUCAGCUUGUGUGAGCUAUCAUCUAUGCAUAUAUCAGCUUGUGCGAGCUACCAUCUAUAUCAGCUUGUGUGAGCCGUGAUUUAUUAAUGGAUGGAUAGAUGGUAUGAAUUGAUAGAUGAUAUGAAUUGAUAUAUGGUAUGAAUUUAUCGACGUAUGAAUUGCACUGACGUGCAGGAAGGACUGAGGCAAGGUAAGUCCUCUAUUCUCUUUGUGUGGCUAGAGCACCCUGGGGCUUAUUUUCUUCCUAAUUGAGUUUUAGAGGGUAGGACUCGCUGAGACAUCGUUUCAUCCCGGUUGUGGGAUAAUAUUUCAGGUCCAUAGAUGGCGGAUCCUCCGGAGCUUUUUGGUAGACCAUUGAGGGUCGUUGAGAGGAUUUUUGACUUCGCCGAUCCCGACUGAAGAGCUGGCGAAUGGACCUGUCUAGCUGAUCUUAGGACAGCCUAGUUUUUGAGGACUGAUCUUCUAUAGAUCUUUUGUAAAUAGCCUAGUCCUGUAAAUGAACUGGUUUGAUAUGUAUAAAAAGUAUGUGGUUGGUUUUAAAAAUGUGAUCCUGCUUUUCUAUCCCAAUUGAGUUUUGUCUGG
RNAcentral lists this long non-coding RNA (1505 nucleotides) under Eucalyptus grandis. RNAcentral describes it as "long non-coding RNA (EGRA_LNC003137)". Lineage: Eukaryota; Viridiplantae; Streptophyta; Magnoliopsida; Myrtales; Myrtaceae. The record is from RNAcentral.